CCUACGGGUGGCAGCAGUGAGGAAUAUUGGUCAAUGGACGAGAGUCUGAACCAGCCAAGUAGCGUGAAGGAUGACUGCCCUAUGGGUUGUAAACUUCUUUUAUAUGGGAAUAAAAUGCUCCACGUGUGGGAUUUUGUAUGUACCAUAUGAAUAAGGAUCGGCUAACUCCGUGCCAGCAGCCGCGGUAAUACGGAGGAUCCGAGCGUUAUCCGGAUUUAUUGGGUUUAAAGGGAGCGUAGGUGGAUUGUUAAGUCAGUUGUGAAAGUUUGCGGCUCAACCGUAAAAUUGCAGUUGAAACUGGCAGUCUUGAGUACAGUAGAGGUGGGCGGAAUUCGUGGUGUAGCGGUGAAAUGCUUAGAUAGCACGAAGAACUCCGAUUGCGAAGGCAGUUCACUGGACUGCAACUGACACUGAGGCUCGAAAGUGUGGGUAUCAAACAGGAUUAGAUACCCCUGUAGUC
Molecule: ribosomal RNA, 460 nt
Filed under: uncultured bacterium
Lineage: Bacteria
Description: partial 16S ribosomal RNA
Rfam family: Bacterial small subunit ribosomal RNA
Source: RNAcentral